CCACACCGCUGCUAAAUCCUGCACUCUGAUUGGUCAGAAGGUGUUGAUUAAUUCUCUAUAACAAUAGUGCAGGUGUACAUUAAUGCAAUCAUUCUAACAGUUAUCGUUUCUAUAUCAACAGCUCAUUCACAGGAGCUCAUACAGUGGAUGGUCGUGUGUGUGUGUGUGUUUGCACAGUUUGAAUAGAUUACACACUUAUCACUUCUGUUUACACACACUGAUCCACACAUUACACAGUCAUAAACCUCCUCAAACAAUCCGACAGGCGUUAUAACACCUUUAUACACCUUCAUACACGUGAUGGAGAAGGACCGGAUAUGGCACAAUGACGUCACAAACACAAAAAUGAACGAAAAAUACCACCACACGAAACGAACACAUGAGCAUCCUCUAACCCAGUACGCUCCCUUUAAGUCCCUUUAGCUUAGCACAGCUAACACUGUUUAUUAUCUAAUAUUAGCAUUUACCUCAAACUAUUUCUAUACUAAAAGUACUCACUCACUCUCUCUCUCUUUAAAAACAACACUAUUUAAAUAAAACAAUAAAAGUCCUCUCUUACGCAGUGCACGAAAAUUUAUUAAAGCAAAAAGUAAACAAACAAAAAAUAAAACAUUAUAGAUGAUGAUGAUUCUUAUUAUUACUAUUAUGAGCAGCGUCGCUAAUUAGAAUAACGAGUACAACUAGCAUAACUAGCUUAAAGAACCUCAAGGAGCUGGUUAGCUAAGUUAGCUAGUUUAGGCUAAAUAAUGGAGAGAAAAAAAUUUAAAAUGAAAGCCGCUCAAUGCUAGCAGCCUUAGCGCUAACUUUUUACAUUAAGCAGAAACAUAUCGUUACUAUUUAUUUAUAAAAGUAAUCUUUAAAAUACACCUAGAAGUUUUUUUUUUUUUUUUUUAAACUUUAUUAUUUUCUAGCUAAAUAUUAAACAAAGCGAUAUAGCAUCGAAAUGCAGAGUCUCAGCUGAAGUCGAACAAAAGUGUAACACUGGCGGGGGCCAACAGAGAAUAAAACAAUGUUUUCAGCGCGUAUCUACUGGCAGUGACGACUCAGUUUAAAAGAAUGAUUAUUUGGACCGUUUCACGUCAAUAACAUUCGAGCUGAAAUUUGAAAAAGUGAAAUAUAUGCUUUUGAACUGGGAGGCAGAAUUAUAGAGCACCCCUUCCUGUCAAAACUUUAUGGUACGGUCGAGAAUGUGAACGCGGAGGGAAAAAAGUAACGGGUGUUCCUAACAGCCAGGCGCGUGCACGAG
Long non-coding RNA from Ictalurus punctatus (channel catfish), 1246 nucleotides. The record is from Ensembl. NCBI's taxonomy places the organism in Eukaryota, Metazoa, Chordata, Actinopteri, Siluriformes, Ictaluridae.